UACGUAGGGGGCGAGCGUUGUCCGGAUUUAUUGGGCGUAAAGCGCGUGUAGGCGGCCAUCUAAGUCGGGCGUGAAAUCCCACGGCUCAACCGUGGAAGUGCACUCGAAACUGGAUGGCUAGAGUCCUGGAGAGGAAGGUGGAAUGCUUGGUGUAGAGGUGAAAUUCGUAGAUAUCAAGCGGAACACCGGUGGCGAAGGCGGCCUUCUGGACAGUGACUGACGCUGAGACGCGAAAGCGUGGGGAGCAAACAGG
Molecule: ribosomal RNA, 253 nt
Filed under: uncultured bacterium
Lineage: Bacteria
Description: partial 16S ribosomal RNA
Rfam family: Bacterial small subunit ribosomal RNA
Source: RNAcentral